UACGUAGGGUGCGAGCGUUGUCCGGAAUUAUUGGGCGUAAAGAGCUCGUAGGCGGUGUGUCACGUCGGCCGUGAAAACCUGCAGCUUAACUGUGGGCGUGCGGUCGAUACGGGCAUCACUGGAGUUCGGCAGGGGAGACUGGAAUUCCUGGUGUAGCGGUGAAAUGCGCAGAUAUCAGGAGGAAAACCGGUGGCGAAGGCGGGUCUCUGGGCCGAUACUGACGCUGAGGAGCGAAAGCGUGGGGAGCAAACAGG
Molecule: ribosomal RNA, 254 nt
Filed under: uncultured bacterium
Lineage: Bacteria
Description: partial 16S ribosomal RNA
Rfam family: Bacterial small subunit ribosomal RNA
Source: RNAcentral